CUGCGAAUGGCUCAUUAUAUAAGUUAUCGUUUAUUUGAUAAUACUUUACUACUUGGAUAACCGUGGUAAUUCUAGAGCUAAUACAUGCUAAAAAUCCCGACUUCGGAAGGGUUGUAUUUAUUAGAUUAAAAACCAAUGCCCCUCGGGGCUCUCUGGUGAAUCAUGAUAACUAGUCGAAUCGACAGGCCUUGUGCCGGCGAUGGCUCAUUCAAAUUUCUUCCCUAUCAACUUUCGAUGUUUGGGUCUUGUCCAAACAUGGUGGCAACGGGUAACGGAGGGUUAGGGCUCGACCCCGGAGAAGGAGCCUGAGAAACGGCUACUACAUCCAAGGAAGGCAGCAGGCGCGCAAAUUACCCAAUCCCGACACGGGGAGGUAGUGACAAUAAAUACUGAUACAGGGCUCUUUUGGGUCUUGUAAUCGGAAUGAGUACAAUUUAAAUCCCUUAACGAGGAACAAUUGGAGGGCAAGUCUGGUGCCAGCAGCCGCGGUAAUUCCAGCUCCAAUAGCGUAUAUUAAAGUUGUUGUGGUUAAAAAGCUCGUAGUUGAACCUUGGGCCUGGCUGGCCGGUCCGCCUCACCGCGUGCACUGGUCCGGCCGGGCCUUUCCCUCUGCGGAACCCCAUGCCCUUCACUGGGUGUGGCGGGGAAACAGGACUUUUACUUUGAAAAAAUUAGAGUGCUCAAGGCAGGCCUAUGCUCGAAUACAUUAGCAUGGAAUAAUAGAAUAGGACGUGUGGUUCUAUUUUGUUGGUUUCUAGGACCGCCGUAAUGAUUAAUAGGGACAGUCGGGGGCAUCAGUAUUCAAUUGUCAGAGGUGAAAUUCUUGGAUUUAUUGAAGACUAACUACUGCGAAAGCAUUUGCCAAGGAUGUUUUCAUUAAUCAGGAACGAAAGUUAGGGGAUCGAAGACGAUCAGAUACCGUCGUAGUCUUAACCAUAAACUAUG
RNAcentral lists this ribosomal RNA (945 nucleotides) under Cancellidium sp. HKUCC 10089. RNAcentral's name for it is "SSU rRNA". It matches the Rfam family "Eukaryotic small subunit ribosomal RNA", at positions 87 to 1041 of the family's 1831-position model. The record is from RNAcentral. Lineage: Eukaryota; Fungi; Ascomycota; Sordariomycetes; Cancellidiaceae.